CGGCGAGUGAAGCGGCAAAAGCUCAAAUUUGAAAUCUGGCACCUUCGGUGUCCGAGUUGUAAUUUGAAGAAGGUAACUUUGGGAUUGGCUCUUGUCUAAGUUCCUUGGAACAGGACGUCACAGAGGGUGAGAAUCCCGUGCGAUGAGAUGACCAAUCCUAUGUAAAGUGCUUUCGAAGAGUCGAGUUGUUUGGGAAUGCAGCUCUAAGUGGGUGGUAAAUUCCAUCUAAAGCUAAAUAUUGGCGAGAGACCGAUAGCGAACAAGUACAGUGAUGGAAAGAUGAAAAGAACUUUGAAAAGAGAGUGAAAAAGUACGUGAAAUUGUUGAAAGGGAAGGGCUUGAGAUCAGACUUGGUAUUUUGCAUUCCUUACCUUCGUGGUGGGGUUCCUUGCAGUUUACUGGGCCAGCAUCGGUUUGGAUGGUGGGAUAAUGACAUUGGAAUGUGGCUCUGCUUCGGUAGAGUGUUAUAGCCAGUGUUGAUACCGCCUGUCUAGACCGAGGACUGCGUCUUUGACUAGGAUGCUGGCAUAAUGAUCUUAAGUCGC
Molecule: ribosomal RNA, 545 nt
Filed under: Schwanniomyces occidentalis var. occidentalis
Lineage: Eukaryota; Fungi; Ascomycota; Pichiomycetes; Serinales; Debaryomycetaceae
Description: eukaryotic LSU rRNA
Rfam family: Eukaryotic large subunit ribosomal RNA
Source: RNAcentral